CUCGUCACCAAGUGAGGUUUUAUGCUGAUUAUUAUUUUGAGUAAUUACCAAUAGUGUCCACUGCCUUUAAACACCACAAUGUUAUGCACGAUUAUUUUUUCCUAAGUUUGUAAAUUCACAUUAUGUAUUAUUUUUUUAACAAUCUUUGUGAGCGUUUAGAGACACUAGAUUUGCGCUACAUGUAUAUUCAUUUGAAGGGAAUUUAACUCUGUAUUCGUUAAAAUGAUUGGUUGAUUUUUUGUUGGGGGUAAAGGUAAGUACCAGAGGGAAUUCCCCUCAUUGGAUUAAAGGUAAAGUACCAGAGGGAAUUCCCCUCAUUGGAUUAAAGGUAAAGUACCAGAGGGAAUUCCCCUCAUUGGAUUAAAGGCCACUUUAUUACAUUAUUGACAUCUCUCCGUCUUCAAAAGUUCUUCAAGGCUAGAAUUCUUUCUGAGAGGUUUAGUAUUCCUGUGAUUUUAAGCUGUUUUUGUAAACCUCCCCUUGCCUUAAAUUUUGCUGAACAAAAUGUAAUAUUUCUAAAGAAUGUUAAUUGAUGAUAAAACGCCCUUUGUUAUCUCUUAAACUUAAUGAACAGUAAAGAACAGUUUGUAUGAAAAACUGGAAGGAACGGGUACAUGUUGUAAUCCUACAUCCAUUGCCCGACCUAGGGGUAGGGGUUGGGGUGAGAGGUGCUAGAGCAACUCCAAGGGCCUGCUGUUUUUUGUUUUAGUUUUGUUUUUCUCCACAAAGAGAAAACUAAAAGGAAGGGACAUUGUUACCAUAUUGGAGUGUAGAGCAUUGGCACAUAUUUUCAACAUGAGCCACUGAUUCCAAAGGCCAACACCCCUAAACCUGCCGAAGGCAUCAUUUACAUGUAUUUCCCAUCCCCUGCCAAGAUAUUCUGCCCAACCUUCUUACCUGAACCUUCUCCUAUUGGUAUACUUCCAAGACUAUAAUAAUGUGUUGAAUUCAGAAGAAUCAACAUUCCAUUUUAUCUGAGAAAUGAAAGUUAGAAUGGAAAUUUUGAAAAGAAGAGUGAUUUUACUGAAUAGUGUCCACAUUUUGUAACCCUUUUUACACUAGCUAUUUUGGACCUAAGAACUGUUAUAUUUAAAUAUUGGUAAGCUUUUCAUGUUGUGUACAUUGCGUUGGUCAUUUUUGACACUUGUUUGCAUAUCAGAAUAAAGAGGGACAUUAAUGGAUACACAAUCAA
This is a long non-coding RNA of Asterias rubens (European starfish), 1192 nucleotides long. RefSeq lists it as uncharacterized. The transcript is spliced from 2 exons. NCBI's taxonomy places the organism in Eukaryota, Metazoa, Echinodermata, Asteroidea, Forcipulatida, Asteriidae. The record is from RefSeq and is a predicted model, not a curated record.